This 3332-nucleotide long non-coding RNA is filed under the name Olea europaea subsp. europaea. Lineage: Eukaryota; Viridiplantae; Streptophyta; Magnoliopsida; Lamiales; Oleaceae. The record is from RNAcentral.
UCUUUGUCUGGCACUGGUUGUCCUGUGGAUGGGAAGGUACUGAUAAGGUCUAGGCAUAUAGUUUUUGUAGUUUCUAGGUGGUCUUUCUCAUUUUGCAACUUUUCUUUUCCAUAGUAGAAUGUAAACCUAUAAUGCCAAUAAAAAUCUGUGCAUCUUACCAUGCAGUCUGCUUUGUCAUUUGAUCAAAAGAUGUCAAGUAGCAGCAUAUUUGGAACAGAGAGUGGGAGAAUACCUCGAUUAGAGUUUUUCAUACUUCAACUUUUCUCUUUAAAUGAAAAUACUCAACAGGGAUUGGAAAAGCUAAUUAAUGUCUUAAUCCAUUAAACAUGAAAUUCUUUUAUGAGAUCAAUUUAGAUUGGUUCAUGGCCCUGGGCAACAGACAUGCUACAGUGGCUAGGACAAUCGGACAUUCAUUUACUGUAAUUCACUAGAAAAUUGAAUCUAUACUUUUGGUCUUCAUCUUCGGGAUGGUUAUAAUCCAUUUUUGGAUCUCACUUCAAGUGCUGAGAAGCAGAUACCGUCAGUGAUCGAGCACUUGAAUUCAAAAUGGGAAAGUUCAAGUGUAGCACAUGGCCAACUUAUGCUCUUCCCCUGUAAUAUGAAAUCAGUGAAAAUUGCUUCAUGCAAAAGAUGGACAUAAAAUGACUAUGGCAUUACUGCAGGAGAGGUUUAUGUUUCUGUGGAAAGUCUUUCGAUUUUUCGCCUAAGAUCUGAAGCUUCUUGCCGCAACAUUGCUUUCUUCAGUUUGGGAGUUUUGUCUUUUUAUUUGUUUAUUAUAUUGCUUUCCAUCUAUGGUUGGUUCUCCAAUACUGGUGAAAAUGUUUGGAGUAGCUUUGACAGGAGCUAUAGCAAAGUUUUGAAGAUUUCAAAUGAUCAAGAGGAAAAAGCCUAGUUGAGUGUUGAAAACAUCAAAGAUCCAUUCAACAUAGUAGUAUAGUAGAUUCAAGCGUGAAUGAGCUAAAGUCAUUGGAUAUACCGAUGAAUCAUGUGGUAAUUUUCAAUUCUCUUCUAUUCUUCUACUGAUACUCAUUUCAUUUAAGAUCAAAGUAAUCAAAUUUUGAAGUUAUUUCAAUAUAUCUAACAUCCGCAUGUUAAACUAGCUUGUUUGUCAUGCACUUCCAUCCAAUGGUCAAUAACAAGUUAGUAAAAGGACAAACAGUUGGAACAUAUAUACAGGUUUUGAUACCAUAAUAAUGGGAGAAGUCAUGAUAGGUUUUGAAUAUUUGUCGUAAAGAAUGGCAACUUUCAGUUAUCAAAUAUUACUCUCUUUCUGUUGGAUCCACUAAGGUUGAGGGAGGGAGAAUUUUGGGUUAUGAUAAGGUUUGCUAGAAACUUUUUAAUCCGAAUAAAAUUAUUUAUAGGUUUAAAAGCCUAUCUUUGUGCUAUGAGAGGUGAACGAGAAUCGUGUUUUAUGAAAGUAGAUUGAAUAGAACUUGAGAUCCAUAAUUUUUUAUUAAGAAUAAUUGGAAUUACGUAGAGAAGAAGAAAGAAUAAGAUUAUGGAAAGCAAACCUAUUUUCAGUAAUAAUCAAGGCAAGGUUCAUUAGCAAAAUCAAUAUGGAAGUUUCAAAUAAUUCAGUUUCAUUUUUAGAUUUUUUUCACACACCGUAUAUAGCUGUUACAUUUCUGUCUUUACAAGACCAGCUAUUCUGAAGUUCAUAAUUUUUUAAAAAUAUUCUGUAACACAUUAAAAUUUAAUCAAAUGAAAAUACAUAAAAACUAAUUAACUUUAAUGCUUAAAUUAGAGAAUCUUAGGUCCAAAAUCUGUUGCAUGCACUUUUUUCAAUUUUGUCUUCAUAAAUUCUGUGAUGUGAAGGGUCAAAUCCUUGGUAGAGGAGUAUAGAUGAGUUUUAACCAUCAGACUAAGACUAUAUGGGCAGCCUAUGAUACUCGGACUCGGGUAUGGGUAUCGGGUAUGGGUAAUAUCCAAGUGUCGGAUCUUUUAUUUUCUAAAAUAUAGGAUACGGGAAUAUGACUAAAAAGAGUCUAAAUUUUGAACACAGGUACGUGGAUACGUCUUUCAAACUUUAAUUUUUUUACUAAUUGAAGAUGUUAUUUUGAAUAGACCAAAAUCAAUUGUUCACAAAGAAGGAAAUAGUAUAGAAUAAGGGGUUAAGACGAAUAAAAUAGAAUUUUGAGGUUUAGUUUUCAAUUAUGAGAAGUUAAUUACUAAAUGUUAUAUAAAAUAGAGAUUGAGAGAGUUGAUUGCAAUAUGGAUCAAAUAGAGCACUAAGUAGCAUUAUAUAGAACCUAUUUUCAUUUUAUACAAACAAAACCCUAAACCACCGAUACAGAGAGGGAAAGAAGGAAAAAAAGAAGAAAAGAAAAGGGAAAGAAAAAAUAAAGAAGAAGAAGGGAAAAUCUAGCACUGUCGCUUUUCUCCCUCUUCUCGAAGGUGGCGCUAGGUUUAUAGAGGGUAGAAACGGAAAUAAAAGGGGAAAAAAAAAAGAAGAGAGAGAAAGAAGAAGCAAAAAAUGACGAAAUGUCCAGUUGAAAUUUGGAGGAUCCGACCUAUAUCCAUACCCAUACCCAUACCCAUGUCUUGUCGUAUCCGACACGGGUACUCUAACCAUUUUGAAGAGUCCGAGCAUUAGAGUGGGCAGCUGACACGUGAGUUACUUUUCUUUAAUGAACUGGCUGGAUUUCGUUUCUAGCAUAGGUUUUUUACUUACAAUAAACACGUGCCUUCUCUUCCCGCUAGAAUGAUGAAGUGAUGACUCACAUAUAUAGUUGAGUGUAUAUUGGGGGUGAUAAUCUGACCAACUUGAGCAUUGAAGGCCAACUUUCUCAAAUAUCAUUGAAGGGAAAGAUCAAUAACUCUAUGAAUAAAUCUAACUUGCAACCAAUUGGAUUAAUUUCUAAAAUAAGCAUUGGAGGCCUGUUGUCCGAAGCAUCUUUGUAGGGCAAGAUUGGCAAUCCUGACCUGAAAUAUCCAGCAUGCAUCAAAAAGCAGUUGGAUCUGCACCUGGUGUUAAAUUUUGCUCUUCACAUUGCUCAAGCCAUGGACUGUUUACACACAAAAGGGAUUAUACAUGGAGAAUUAAAACUUGGUAUUUGAUGGGCCAAUGAGCUAUAUAAGAUUUUAUGCAUCUAUAAUAUUGUUAUAUUGUGUAGUUUUGAACAAUUUUAUUGUUUUAGUGGAGAUUUUAAUAUUUUGUUCACCAGGAUUUCAUAUUGUAUCGGUUAGUCUGAAGUGAUAUUUUAAUAAGAAGUAGGUGAACACAUAUCAUAGUAUGCUGUCAUUUUUCCUUUUAGUUCUAUUAUCUGGGUUGUUAUGUUAUUCAUCACCAAAUGAAUAAAAAGAGAGAGAGAGAGAAGGGAAACAAAGAUGAG